CAGGAGGUGAGAAUAUCAUUUGAAAGUGUUUCGAAAAUGCUUUUCUUUCUUUUCAGGUAGAUAAUGUGGCUAGUUUUCUCCCCUUCAUGGACCCACAACGGCCGUCCCUGUUGUCUGUGAGGAACAGGGAGAAAUCAAAGCUUGAUCUCUGUGAGCUCACUGAGGCCAAAUCGACCAAACAGACUCCACUCAAAUACCUGAAGAGCCUGAAAAGGCGAACAACAGACUGAAGUUACGGACACAGGACAGAGAUGUCCAUCGGACACCUCCAUCGGACUUAACAGCUGACGAUUUUGCGUCGUUCUUUGUAAAGAAAACGACCGCCAUCAGCAAUCAAUUCUCUGCACCACUGCCUCUUGACCACGCCCAAUCCCCAGACACAUGCUCGCUCCCCUCGUUCUCUCUCGUAUCUGAAGAGGACGUUUCCAAAGUCAUUUCUUCGAACCACCCGACUACCUGCCCCCCUAGAUCCCAUCCCCACUCAUCUCCUCCAGGCCAUUUCCCCAUCGGUUGUUCCCUCUCUGACCCACAUUAUCAACUCAUCUCUCACCACUGGUACAUUUCCUACACUCUUCAAAGAGGCCCGUAUUACCCCACUACUAAAAAAACCUUCUCUUAAUCCUGCAGUGUUAGAAAACUACAGACCGGAAUCCCUCCCCCCCUUUGUUGCGAAAACUCUAGAACAUGUUGUAUGUAACCAGCUCUCAUCCUUUCUCACCCAGAACAACCUCCAAGACAGCAACCAGUCUGGUUUCAAGAGCGGUCAUUCCACUGAAACUGCGCUGCUCUCUGUCAUUGAAGCCCUAAGACUGGAAAGAGCUUCCUCUAACUCAUCUGUUCUCAUCCUACUGGAUCUAUCUGCCGCCUUUGACACCGUUAACCAUCACAUUCUCCUGUCCACCCUCAAGACUAAGGGGGUCUCCAGAAUGGUUCUACAAUGGUUCAAGUCUUACCUCUCGGACGAAAAGAUUCUGCACGCAUCUCAGCUUGCCUAGCCGACAUCCCGCUCUGGAUGAAUGACCAUCACCUGCAGCUGAAAGUUUCAAUGACAGAACUGCUUGCAAUCCCGGCCGAUACAAAGACUCAUCACAGCCUCUCCAUUCAACUUGGCUCAUCAACCAUCACAUCUUCCAGAAAGGCAAGAAACCUGGGAGUGGUGAUCGAUGAUCAGCUCAACUUCACAGAUCAAAUUGCUAGCACCGCCCGGUCCUGUAGAUUCAUCCUCUACAAUAUUAGGAAAAUUAGACCCUUCCUAUCAGAGCAUGCUACGCAAGUCCUAGUACAGGCUCUGGUCCUGUCCAGACUGGACUACUGCAAUGCGCUACUGGGUGGACUUCCAGCUUGCACAACCAAACCUCUACAGGUGAUCCAGAAUGCUGCGGCAAGAGUUAUCUUUAAUGAACCGAAGAGAGCACACGUCACUCCUCUAUUCAUUAAGCUACAUUGGCUCCCUAUAGUCGCUCGCAUAAAAUUCAAGAUUCUGCUACUGGCCUACAAGACCACCACUGGUUCGGCACCACCCUAUCUUCGCUCGCUACUGCAGACAUAUGUACCCGCCAGAUCCCUACACUCUGCAAACGAACUGCGUCUUGUGGUCCCAUCCCAAAAAGAGUCAAUCAGAGGACUUAACACUGGUAGUAAGAGGGAGAGGAAGAGGGCGGAGAGGUUAGGGGUGUUGGAGAUGCAGGCAGGGCGAGGAGAGGCAGAGGAGCUAACGUUACCCGGGAGGACCGCACAAGAGAGGAUGUGGAAGCUAAGCAGUAUUAUGAUAUAACUUACACCCGAUUUAUGCAAAUUAUGAUUGUAAACAUGAUUUCUAACUUGAUUUCCAGACGGCCAUGCAACACGGACUUAUGAUACAAUUACAAAGUGCUAAAAAUUUACAAGGAAAAACGCUACUUCACUUGAUGAUCAGCUCAUCUAUUAGCUAAAGCUAUCAAAGGAUUUUGCCAAUCCUUCUAUGUAGUGGCUUUGCAAGCUGCCUCCAAAACACAGCCGAAGAAGAAGAACAUAGUCCCGUGCAUCCUUCGUUUUACAAAACGCGCUCAGUUUGUCCAUGUAGUGCUACUAUGGAAACAUUGCCGUGCAAUUUGAUAAAUUACAUGUAAGGGUGUCCCUGCGGUGUAUAUACAUAAAAUCGCUCAUUGUAAGGUAAUAUAAACAUUUCGGUUCAUUUUUUAAGGUAUUUCUUCACCACACACAACAUAGUUUUGUAUUAUAUAUUACAUUUUGGUAAAUAAAUCCUUCAAAAGUCUAGACACUGUACCUUUAAAUGCGUGUCAUGACUUAAACUCUUGUCAUUCUUUCUCCAGCACCACACGGUCAACACAGACCUCAUGCACAGCAAAGAGCUGCCGUACAUCGAGCACAUCGGGUCUCUGCAGAAAGUUACGUGAAAUUGGUCAGCAAGGAAAUCGUCCAGAAGAGGUAAGCAUCUGCCCUCCUCGUGUACCGACCGACGAGUGUCAAGACCUGCGACUCUUCCAGCGCGACUCCACCAAGCUAAGACACCAGCAAGGCUCAUCAGUAUAUUUAAAGGGCUCACCGGUUUCCCCCGUGGCCAUUCGCGAAGCCCCUCCGGUCCCUGUUGGUCCGGUCACGACCGCAUUCGGGAGAGAGAACCGAGACCUAAGACCAAAAAGGAGGUAAGACAGUUUCUGGGGCUGGCGGGAUAUUACAGGCGCUUUGUACCUAACCAUUUGGACCUCACCAGCCUGCUUACUGAUCUUACUAAAAAGGACGCAGCAGAUACCCUCCAGUGGACGGAGCAGUGCCAGCAGGCGUUUACACAAGUGACGGCUGCCCUGUGUGGUGGGCCGCUCUUACACUCUCCUGACUUUUCUCUCCCUUUUCUGUUGCAGACUGACACGUCGGAUAGGGGGCUGGGUGCCAACCUGGCCCAGGAGGUAGGGUCCGGUACUGUUCAUUAGUCGUAAGCUCUCAAAGAGAGAGACAUAGAAAAAGAGUGUUUGAGAGACCAGAUAAAAGGAGGAAAACAACACACAGAGGGAGACAGACUCACAGACUGAACAAGGGAGAUCUAAGAGGGAGUGAUCGCUGACUGGAACUAAAACUGGACUACUGAUCCGAGACAAAAGAAUCUUACGGUGUGCUGGGGAAUUCGCCACAGAUUUACUUUGCUAUUUUGGAAUCUCUUUUUGUUUUACAAAUGUUUAAUAAAAACUUGUGUCAGGCUCGCCAAUCUUGUCCUCUUCCUUACCCACAAGCUGAACCUUAUUACACAGCGUUCUAAACAUACGUCAUGUUAAAGCAAUGCACAGUCCUGUCUUUUAAUUAAAGAGAAGCAUUAGUAUCAAGUAAGGCUUAGUGGAUGAGAUCCAUAUCUGCUUGGUGCCCAUCCUAUGAGGCCCAUAGCCUUUGUUAAAAUCAGAGAAGUACAUGAACUUCUAUAACUAUCUUAAAUGUAUGCUUUUAUAUAAGAAGAAAAAUAUUUAGAAAAUUUAAAUGUAGUCUUUUAUAUAAGAAAACUCAGUCAUAUACUAAGAAGAAACCCCAUAACCCCAUUAGUUCUAUACAAAGAUGUGUUGUGUUUGCUUUACACCAGCAGGUAUCAUCACUAAAGAUCAAUCAUCACUUGUAAAGUCAACUCAAUUGAUUCAUUAACUUCAUGAACUUUUCACACCAGAAAGACUCUGCCUAGUGGUGAACAAACUAACACUGAAGCACAGACUCAUAUAAACAGGGACAUUGCUGUACAUGAAGCACAUACAUAAAUAACAACAUUAAAAACAAAUAACUUACAAAUAAUUUGUACUUAAAUAUGCGGUAAGUGACUUAUUUAUUGUGCUAAAUGUACAUUAUGUAUAUGUGGUAUAGUAUAUUAUGUUUUUGAAUGACACGAAGAUGAGUAAAAGAUGUUUGAAUCAAACGCAAAACUCAAAGUGAAGAUGAAGAUGAAGUGACAGUCUCAUCAAUCGUUUCAGCGCGACUCUCGCUUCUGAUUGGCUGCUUUGUGUUCUAAGCGACGUCAUUAAAGCCUCGAGCGUCCACAGCCGGAUGUUAUCAGUGCAAACAGUUCUGUCAGUGACCAGUUCACUCCUCGAGUUUGUCUCGCUUACAUCUUUACUUUAAUACGAUUGAGAAUCUGUGUUCGCUGUCUGAUCUGUGUCAGAUCUCACAUCAGUAGAAGAGCUCAGAGCAGCGCGAGGUGAGUGAUCAACAUGACUUAGGUAUGAUGACAAAAUUUCCAAACACCCCUAAGCUUAAAAUGGAUCACAUGACUAGACAGAGCUGAAAAUUCGCUUUACGACGACACCUGAAUUGUGAAAAUCAGUUGAGGAUUGCGAAAGUUAUGAUAUUUAUAAUACCGAGGAAUAUAGUCAAAUAGUAAACAUUAACUACAAUAGAAGUCGUGUGACCGAAAAUGCUUAUUAUUCACACGUUUUUGCUUGUAACUUCCUUAUUUGCAUGAAAUUUGUAUAGAAGGUAGAAUUGUGUUCGUUCUUUCAAAUGAAAUCAUGAAAAUGUACUGUUUUAGGUGGAAUGGGCAUCAGAUCCAUGGUACCUCACUGAAAACAGUUAUAAUUAAUAAGCGUUCAUUCAUAUUCAUAAACAUUUAUUUUCAGAAAACAACAAUACACAUCAAUAUUAAUUGUUAAUUCAUAUUCAUACAAGAACACAACAAAUAUUCAUUCUCUCCAGGAGGUGCUGUCUGGCUAGAUCUGGCUGUGUGUUGGGCCCCUUUCUCCUUUUCAUAAUUAGCUGUAAAGACAUAACAUCAAUUAUUAGGCCCCUCAACUGUACAUACAUUGAUUAACACUGGAUUUCUCUAACAUAAGCAGCACCAGAAGCCUUAUAAACACGGAGAAUCAUUUUACAUGUUUGUUAAUCUACAUAAUCUACAUGAUUAAAGAAAGAUGGACAUAAAA
RNA transcript from Triplophysa dalaica, 4889 nucleotides. RefSeq lists it as uncharacterized. The transcript has 5 exons. Lineage: Eukaryota; Metazoa; Chordata; Actinopteri; Cypriniformes; Nemacheilidae. The record is from RefSeq and is a predicted model, not a curated record.